Molecule: small nuclear RNA, 84 nt
Filed under: Rhodnius prolixus
Lineage: Eukaryota; Metazoa; Arthropoda; Insecta; Hemiptera; Reduviidae
Description: U4 spliceosomal RNA
Rfam family: U4 spliceosomal RNA
About the family: U4 small nuclear RNA (U4 snRNA) is a component of the major U2-dependent spliceosome. The structure of U4 snRNA from yeast and human has been reported.
Source: Rfam by way of RNAcentral
AUUUAUAACCAUGUGGCAAUAUCGUGACCAAUGAAGGCCUCCUGAGGUGCGAUUAUUGCUAGUUGAAAACUUUUAUUAAGGCGC